Molecule: long non-coding RNA, 533 nt
Organism: Saccostrea cuccullata (small rock oyster)
Lineage: Eukaryota; Metazoa; Mollusca; Bivalvia; Ostreida; Ostreidae
Exons: 3
Source: RefSeq, a predicted model, not a curated record
AUUCUGAAAUUAGAUCGCAAUGAUGCAAGUUCAGCAACCUUGAUAGAAAUUUCACCUUUGUAUGGUCGGCUUUUGUUGAUUUUAGUGCUAAAAGAUGGAUGGACAACUGAGAGUAAAACGGAUAAUGGAAACAAAGAGGAUAAUGUUCAAGACAACACUUUACAUUUUAUACUCACUCCUUUAACUGUUGUCGUAUGUGGGGUUGGUGGUUGUUUCGCAUUUGUUUUUGUUAAGAAGCGAAAACAACGACAUCAAUUGAACAGUCCUCCACAGGAAUUGACUGAAAAUGAUCCCUAUGUGUAUCGUGAGCUUUCAGAGGCAACUUUUACAAGAAUAGGUAUCAACACUUCUACAAAAGAGGUUAUUCCAAGAUUAUACGGACAUGGUGAAGCAAAUAAUUCAGUCCCCUCGGAAAUUGGUCUUCAAAGGGUUACAGAAAUAAAAUCAAGUUUCUCCUAUGCCUAUACCACAAACGAGAGUGGGUUGUUAAAUGUUUCAAGAACAGUGAGUAUAAGGGCGCCGUUGGAUGAUGA